UUUUCAAGAUUUCCAAAAGUUUAUAGAGACGUCCGAUCAUCAUCAUUUUUUAAACUUUAAAAAGUCCCGCACUCUAUCGGAACUUAUUUUUCCCCAUUUUACUAUUCCUUCGAGGAAAGCUGGGACCAUAGAUACUCCGGCGUGUCACUUUCGGAGAAAAUUACAGACCAUAACGAAGGGGCUUGAAGCCCUCUAACCCUGAGAACACUCACCUGUCUCUCCCGUUUUUUAUCUACGCCGCUGCUCCCCCAUGCCCUCUCUAUCUCUCUCUAUAAGCUCACUGCCCUAGGUAUGAAAUCUCUCUCCUUCUCUCCUGUGAGUCUCAAAGUAGAACUAUGGCCCCGUUUCUUUAGCUUCCACACCUCCAUCAAACCUUGGUUUCUAGCUCUCAAAUUGUUUCCAACACUAGGGUUUCGUUUCAUGAUGAGAGAAGAAACCAGUUAAUUCUUAUUGCUAAUGGUGAUGUGGGGUUUCGUUUCAUGUUGAUCGAGGGUUCAGUUUAGGUAUGCGGUUCAGAAAAGGUUUGUUUCCUUUCAAUCAUCAAACAUUUUAUUUCCGUUGAUUUAACGGGGUUUCAUGUUAUUGUAAGAAUUGUUCUCUUUUCUGUUUGGGUUUGUUUUGUAUUUGUAUGUCCGUCGCUUUGCUUCUGAUUUUGUUGAUUGUUGCAGAGAUGUUUCCACAGUGAUAUUUAUGUAUUUAUUUAUUUUGAAUUAAAAAAAUAGAAUCUAUUGAAGUUGCUCUGUUAAGUCCUGAUUUUUGAUCACUUGAAAUUUAGUCUACAAUUUUCUUCCUUUCUAAUUUUCAGAUUUCUGAUUCAUAUUCCUACCUGGUGACUUGUUUAUGUAGUGUGUUAUGGGAAAGAAAACUUCAGCUCUGUGCUGGACACCUGGUUUAUGAUUACAAACCAUUAAUUCCGUUGGUUUUUUUUGGAUAUCUGUAAAUUAGAACUAUUUUCAUUUCUUUAAUGCUAAGUGUAAGAGGGAGCUUAUACUUUUAUGAUUUGUGAACCCCAAAACUUACAAAUAACAGUGAAGCUGACAAACAAAGUUUAGUUUAUGAAGCUACUGUAAUAUUCAUGUGAAUUAGGAUAUGAUGUGUCGAGGAAUGUGUAGUUUGCUGAGGUUGAAAAUCGAUGCAUUUCAAUUUCAAAAAGAAAAAUAACUUUUCCUAAAGUUUUUUUGUGUCUUCCACUCCUAAGUUAUAUGGAGAUAAGAACAAAUUUCAAUGUGAACCGUACAUUUUAUAUGAAAUGCAUUAGAUGGAUUAUAUAAAGAAACUAUUACUCAAAAUAUGCAUUUCACACGUCAAAAUAGUGAAAUACAUAAUGAAUAUUGAGAUCUAGUUUCCAGCUUUACUAAUGCCAAAUAGGUGAAAAUACUAGCACCACAAUUUAUCAAACAGGUUUCCCAGUUUUCAAGCUACCGAUUUUCACUUGCCUCCUAAAUUCCAGGAAAGUCAGCAGCAUUGAUUUUUCCAGGAAAACUAGAGAGAAAGUUAUCAAACACACCCUAAUAGAUUAGUUAUCUAUAGCGGAGCACUCUUCACCCAGCAGUCAUCCAUCAACAGCCCUUUUCUUUAAUUGAUUUAUUACUGAAAGCGGCAAAAGGGGGUACGAAUCGGCUAGGGCUAGGGGAUUAUAGUAUAGUACUCAUUUCAAUCGUAGAGGGCUGGUUAAGAAACAAAGCAGGUACAAAUGGUCAUUCCCUUCUGUAUUGCUGUGGUGGGGAAGGUUCUCACGAGACGAAGGAAGGGAUGACCCAACCAAUGACAUAAUCACGUACGGAAGGAAAAGGAUCUCCUAAAUCCGUGGAAGGAGAGUUCUUGGCUCUUUAAGGAGGGUUGAACAAGACUGGAAGCAGAAAAAAAACUCUCUCUCUCUCUCUC
This 1884-nucleotide long non-coding RNA is filed under the name Amborella trichopoda. RNAcentral's name for it is "long non-coding RNA (ATRI_LNC001184)". Lineage: Eukaryota; Viridiplantae; Streptophyta; Magnoliopsida; Amborellales; Amborellaceae. The record is from RNAcentral.